AUUGACUUGGCGUAAUAGACUAUUCGCUGAGGAAUUCUAGUCUUCGGAUUAGAGCCGGGUUGGGUUAAAGGAAGCUUCUAAUCAGAAUGUCUACAUUUUAAGAUUAGAUCUCAAAUCAGGUAGGACUACCCGCUGAACUUAAGCAUAUCAAUAAGCGGAGGAAAAGAAACUAACAAGGAUUCCCCUAGUAGCGGCGAGCGAAGCGGGAAGAGCUCAAAUUUAUAAUCUGGCACCUUCGGUGUCCGAGUUGUAAUCUCUAGAAAUGUUUUCCGCGUUGGACCGCACACAAGUCUGUUGGAAUACAGCGGCAUAGUGGUGAGACCCCCGUAUAUGGUGCGGACGCCCAGCGCUUUGUGAUACAUUUUCGAAGAGUCGAGUUGUUUGGGAAUGCAGCUCAAAUUGGGUGGUAAAUUCCAUCUAAAGCUAAAUAUUGGCGAGAGACCGAUAGCGAACAAGUACCGUGAGGGAAAGAUGAAAAGCACUUUGGAAAGAGAGUUAACAGUACGUGAAAUUGUUGGAAGGGAAACGCUUGAAGUCAGACUUGCUUGCCGAGCAAUCGGUUUGCAGGCCAGCAUCAGUUUUCCGGGAUGGAUAAUGGUAGAGAGAAGGUAGCAGUUUCGGCUGUGUUAUAGCUCUCUGCUGGAUWCAUCKKGGGGGACUGAGGAACGCAGUGUGCCUUUGGCGGGGGUUUCGACC
Molecule: ribosomal RNA, 696 nt
Filed under: Rhodotorula mucilaginosa
Lineage: Eukaryota; Fungi; Basidiomycota; Microbotryomycetes; Sporidiobolales; Sporidiobolaceae
Description: eukaryotic LSU rRNA
Source: RNAcentral